Choloepus didactylus (southern two-toed sloth) is the source of this 3640-nucleotide RNA transcript. It is a transcript of the gene named G protein-coupled receptor class C group 5 member C, with no coding region annotated. Lineage: Eukaryota; Metazoa; Chordata; Mammalia; Pilosa; Megalonychidae. The transcript is spliced from 6 exons. The record is from RefSeq and is a predicted model, not a curated record.
CCGAGGGGCAGGGCCGGGCGGCCUUUGUUACCGGGUAGACGGAUUGCACAUACCUGGAGCCCUGCGGGUGCCCGAUAAGCGCCCUGAAUGGAGGUGAUGUCACGGUGAUGCAGACGCCCGCCCACCCUCGGCACUGAGAAAACAGCCGCGGAGCGCGGGGGGAGAGCUCGGCCGCCAGAGUGAGCGAGGGAGCGCGGCCAGCUCAAGCCCCGGUCCUGGGGAGCUGGCAGGCCCUGCGCCCGAACCCCCGGGCCCCGCCACGCCAGGCCACGGCUGGGCCCCGGACCCGCGCCCUGCACAGAGUCCCUUCCUCCCCGCCCGCGCCCCGCCUGGGGCUGGAGUUGGCCCCAAACGCCGCGCCGGAGCCGAUCGGGCGGCGCGUCCCAGGGACCUAGAGGGAGCCCGGCCUGGGAGCCAGGAUGGCCACCCCCAAAGCCUUGCUGAUGUGCCUGGGACUGCCCGUCUUCCUACUCCCCGGUGCCCAGGCCCAGGACAGUGCCCCGCCUGGCUGCAGUCAAGACCUCAACCCCCUCUACUACAACCUGUGUGACCGCAACGGGGCCUGGGGCAUCGUCAUGGAGGCAGUGGCUGGGGCAGGCAUCGUCACCACUUUUGUCCUCACCAUCAUCCUUGUGGCCAGCCUCCCCUUUGUGCAGGACACCAAGAAGCGGAGCCUGCUGGGGACCCAGGUCUUCUUCCUGCUGGGGACCCUGGGCCUCUUCUGCCUGGUGUUUGCCUGUGUGGUGAAGCCCGACUUCUCCACCUGUGCCUCCCGACGCUUCCUCUUCGGGGUCCUCUUUGCCAUCUGCUUCUCCUGCCUGGUGGCCCACGUCUUUGCCCUCAACUUCCUGGCCCGGAAGAACCAAGGGCCCCGGGGCUGGGUGACCUUCACCGUGGCCUUGCUGCUGAGCCUGGUGGAGGUGAUCAUCAACAUCGAAUGGCUGAUCAUCACGCUGGUCCGCGGAGGCGGCGAGGCGGGGCCCCGGGGCAAUGGCAGUGCCAGCUGGGUGGCGGCCUCUGCCUGUGCCAUCACCAAUGUGGACUUUGUCAUGGCGCUCAUCUACGUCAUGCUGCUGCUGCUGGCGGCCUUCACCGGGGCCUGGCCUGCCCUGUGCGGCCGCUUCAAGCGCUGGCGUAAGCACGGGGUCUUCGUGCUGCUCACCACGGCCACCUCCAUCGCCAUCUGGGUGGUGUGGAUUGUCAUGUAUACCUACGGCAACCAGCAGCACCACAGCCCCACCUGGGACGACCCCACGCUGGCCAUCGCCCUCGCCGCCAACGCCUGGGCCUUCGUCCUCUUCUACGUCAUCCCCGAGAUCUCCCACGUGACCAAGCCCAGCCCGGAGCAGAGCUACCAGGGGGACAUGUACCCCACCCGGGGCGUGGGCUACGAGACGAUCCUGAAAGAGCAGAAGGGCCAGAGCAUGUUUGUGGAGAACAAGGCUUUUUCCAUGGACGAGCCAGGCUCAGCGAAGCGACCGGUGUCUCCAUACAGUGGGUACAAUGGGCAGCUGCUGACGAGUGUGUACCAGCCCACCGAGAUGGCCCUGAUGCACAAGGUCCCGUCUGAAGGCGCUUACGAUGUCAUCCUCCCGCGGGCCACCGCCAACAGCCAGGUGAUGGGCAGUGCCAACUCCACCCUGCGGGCCGAGGACAUGUAUGCUGCCCAGAGCCACCCCACGGCCACCCCAACCCAAGACGGCAAGAGCUCACAGGCUCAGUCCCCACAAAAUAAAACAAGAUGGUAGACGUCCUCCUUCCCUGGACUGCACGUCGUCCCGAUGUCCUCAUGGCUCUGUGCCCAGGACCCCUGAUGGACCGUCCUGGCCUGGCCAUCUUUUGGUGUUUCCGGCAUCAGCUUCUCCCACUGCACCGUGGUGGAUCUCUGUGAGUUUUCGGAGCUAAGCCAUGGUGGAGAGUUGCCCUGGCCCUCCUCCCCUGGACCGUGGAAGGACACUGAGCUGGGAGCAGAGCUCGGCCGAGACCUGGACAGACAGCUUCUCUUCGUGGCCUGUGGGUCCCAGAUCUGAGCCCUUUUGGAGCUUCACCCAUGUGCCCCUUUGUGCCCGGUCCUGCUGCCUCUGAUGAACCAGGCUCCACCAACAGCCAGGGCCAACCCUGCCUGCCCCUCCCCAUCUGGGGUGGGGUCCGCCACACUGCUUCCAGCCAGAGAAGCUCUUUGUCCAGCAUUUCCUUACGGGGAACCCCACAAAGGAAUCUGUGGCGUUUGCAGACCUCAGUGGCAUCUGGGGCUCUGGGCACCUGCAGAUGCCCAUCACGUUCUCCCUGUGCUCUCCUCCUCCUUGGACUUUCCAGCCAGUUGGGAAAGUGGCUCCUGGGGCAGGGGCAGAUGUUAGAGCCCUGGUGCUACCUGGAUCUAACGUCUUCAGGAAGGGCAGUGGGGCCUGCAGUGGCUAAAUGAGUGACGUCUCGGGGCUGGAGUCUCGGGCCAGCUGAGAGUCCUGGACCAGAUGUGGGGGCAGAUCUAGACCUCUCUGGGACUUAGGCUUGUGGGACUUGGGGAGGCCCCAUAGACAAGAACGUUCUAGGACUCAAGAUUGUGCUGUUUCUGGAUGGGGAGGUGUGUACAUUUCUUCCUUGCCUAGGGCAGCUGGUAAUUACGGGGUACCUUGAUUGUCUCUCAUUGGAGAAGACUCAUGUCCUUGGCCUCAGGACAUGCUCUAGAGUCCCACAGCCCCCCAGGGAGAGCCUGUGUGAUACUGGCCACCAAGGAUAGAGCCAUGCACAGCUCCAGACUCUGGGAAGGAGGUCCCUGUAGCAUCCUCUUCCUCUGUCCUGGCUCCUGUGCCCUUGGAGCUCAGUCCCCAGCCCAGCAUCACCUUUGGGUGCUGAGAUGGAUGUGAGGACAAGAACAGCUCCCCAGGGAGGUGAAUUGGGUGAGGCUAUGCCCAAGCUCACCCCGUAGCCAGCCCCACGACUCUCCUGUCCCUGGCAGCCCGUGCCUUUGUCAUGAAUAUUUUUCCAGAGCUCAGGUUGGUGAACCGGGUCCUGCGGAGAGCUGGGACAGACAUCUCCCCUCAUUCCUGCUCAAUUCCAGGAAGAGAAACCCAAGUAUUAUUUCCCCCUAACAGAAGGGAAGGGGAGAGCCCUGGGCACUCAAACUUCUCUUGAUCUAGUUUAGUGGCCCCAAGAUGACUUACAAUGAGUAAGGGCACCGUCUCUUCUGGGUGAUAAUCUCACGUGAGUCCCUGGCAGGGCCGAAGGGAUGCAGCCUGCGGUGAGCGUGGGCUUGUUUCUAGCCUGAGCCUUCUGAGGAUGUCUGUGUGUGAGGCUCGGGGAGGAACGGGCUCCCAAAAGACGCAGGCGUGUCCUGGAUUCAGGAGACCCUGUGGCCCUGUUUGCCAAAGGUCCUUGGCCAAGUGGAGAAGACAGAUGUUUUUAGGAGCAAAGAGGUGCCUUCUGUGUGAUGGUCCAGUCAUAUCACUAAUAAGCCUUAAGUGGAAGACGAAUUUAUAGUAGAUCAGAACCUGUUACAGGUGGCAGCAGACAACACGUUGGUAAAAUUCACGUCCACGUCUAUCAAACCAUGUAGCGCACAGCAGAAUAAUUUGGAAUGCACCAUAACUGCUCAGAAUUAAACAGCUUUAUCCUCUAUUUGGGAGGAAUUUCUGCUACUAAA